Molecule: long non-coding RNA, 983 nt
Filed under: Malus domestica (apple)
Lineage: Eukaryota; Viridiplantae; Streptophyta; Magnoliopsida; Rosales; Rosaceae
Description: long non-coding RNA (MDOM_LNC006595)
Source: RNAcentral
CCAUUUGAGUAAAAACUACAGAGUAGAGAAUUGUGCAUAGCCAGAUUGGGAGUAGUCUAAGUAUGCAUUUCACUUCUUCUACUUGUGUCACUGUGCAAAGGCGCCAUGGAUUUUGAGCCCCCUUACCCAUUUGGUUCAUCUCCUUUGGUGUGAUGAUUGCAGCUUUAUCCAAGAAUCUGUCGAAGGAUUAACAUGGAUCAGUUUAGGAUUUAUCAUUGGUCAACUACUAAUCUAUUUGGAGUACUUUCGGUAGUGCACUAAGCAUGUUUAGCAGUAUUUGGUUGAAAUAAGAAACCAUAGUUUUUUUUUUUCUCCGCCUAGAAAAGCAGUUUUAGUACUUUCUAGUGAAACACCUGAUACCUGUUUCUCCGAAGCUCCGAAGGAGCGACAGUUGCUCGUGAUAUAGAAAUCAGCAAGCAUUCCGUUGGAGCUUUUAAAAUCUCUAAUACUGAAAGAAUCUCGUUAAGACAAUGCUGCCAUAAGAGAUUCUUGUGACUAUUGAUAUUAUCUAUUAAGAUCUCAAAAACAUAUAUAUAACUUACUUGAAUCCGUGGGUGUGAACUAUUUUCCUACUCUCGUUUUGAGAGUAUUUAUUCUGAUCCUCUCCCUCGUACAAAUCUUCCCCACUUGGUGUCAUCUCAUCCUUCCAUUUUCUUGUUGCAGCUACGACCACCCGACAAAACCUAGAGAGAGGGUUUCCCUGAGGCUUGAAAUGCCUGUACAUUGGAGUGCCACAUAGAAACAAGACCAAAGCCAUUGCAGCAGAACCAGUGGAUACCCAAAACCCUAGAGUCCAUAUUCCCUUAUCCUCAAAAUAUCCCAAGAUUGUGUUUGAAAAGAGAGAGCCAAGAUUCAACGCCAAGUAGAAGAAGCUAAAGAAGGAUAUCUUUGAGUGCCCUUCGUUCGGGUCCUCCUCGUCAAACUGGUCUGCCCCAAAUGUAGCUAUGGUAGGUUGGUAACCACCAUUUCCAAGUGCAAUAAGG